CGUUAAGAAGCUAACUCUAGCGUCAACCUUUUAAGUUGAAGAUUGGGAAGUUGAAUUUCUCCUUAAUGA
This 69-nucleotide transfer RNA is filed under the name Glossophaga soricina (Pallas's long-tongued bat). Its description in RNAcentral is "tRNA-Lys". Lineage: Eukaryota; Metazoa; Chordata; Mammalia; Chiroptera; Phyllostomidae. RNAcentral also lists the same sequence under 1 other name. The record is from RNAcentral.